GACGAACGCUGGCGGCGUGCUUAACACAUGCAAGUCGAACGGUGAAGCGCCUUCCUUUUUGGUGGGUGUGGAUGAGUGGCGAACGGGUGAGUAACACGUUAGUAACCUGCCCCCUUCUUCUGGAUAACCGCAUGAAAGUGUUGCUAAUACGGGAUAUUCUGGGUCUGUCGCAUGAUGGGUCUGGGAAAGAUCUUGUUUCGGUGGGGGAUGGGCUCGCGGCCUAUCAGCUUGUUGGUGGGGUGAUGGCCUACCAAGGCGGUGACGGGUAGCCGGCCUGAGAGGGUGGACGGUCACACUGGGACUGAGACACGGACAAGACUCCUACGGGAGGCAGCAGUGGGGAAUAUUGCACAAUGGGCGCAAGCCUGAUGCAGCGACGCCGCGUGAGGGAUGGAGGCCUUCGGGUUGUGAACCUCUUUCGCCAGUGAAGCAGGCCUGCCUCGUUUGUGGGUGGGUUGACGGUAGCUGGAUAAGAAGCGCCGGCUAACUACGUG
This 494-nucleotide ribosomal RNA is filed under the name uncultured bacterium. RNAcentral describes it as "partial 16S ribosomal RNA". It matches the Rfam family "Bacterial small subunit ribosomal RNA", at positions 28 to 507 of the family's 1533-position model. The record is from RNAcentral.